UUCCAACGUAUCCUAAACUUA
This 21-nucleotide non-coding RNA is filed under the name Caenorhabditis elegans. Lineage: Eukaryota; Metazoa; Nematoda; Chromadorea; Rhabditida; Rhabditidae. The record is from RNAcentral.